This 330-nucleotide ribosomal RNA is filed under the name uncultured bacterium. RNAcentral's name for it is "bacterial SSU rRNA". It matches the Rfam family "Bacterial small subunit ribosomal RNA", at positions 1 to 327 of the family's 1533-position model. The record is from RNAcentral.
CGAUUGAGUUUGAUCAUGGCUCAGGACGAACGCUGGCGGCGUGCCUAACACAUGCAAGUGGAGCGACGAACCAGGCUUCGGCCUGGGGCAAAGCCGCGAACGGGUGAGUAACACGUGGGUUACCUGCCCCGAUGAUCGGGACAACCCGAGGAAACUCGGGCUAAUACCGAAUGUGCCCUCCGGCCACAAGGCCGCUGGGGAAAGGAAGCUUCGGCCUCCGCAUCGGGAUGGGCCCGCGGCCCAUUAGCUUGUUGGUGAGGUAACGGCUCACCAAGGCGACGAUGGGUAGCUGGUCUGAGAGGACGAUCAGCCAUACUGGGACUGAGACAC